UACCUGCGGAGGGAUCAUUACUGAGUUUACGCUCUACAACCCUUUGUGAACAUACCUAUAACUGUUGCUUCGGCGGGUAGGGUCUCCGCGACACUCCCGGCCUCCCGCCCCCGGGCGGGUCGGCGCCCGCCGGAGGAUAACCAAACUCUGAUGUAACGACGUUUCUUCUGAGUGGUACAAGCAAAUAAUCAAAACUUUUAACAACGGAUCUCUUGGUUCUGGCAUCGAUGAAGAACGCAGCGAAAUGCGAUAAGUAAUGUGAAUUGCAGAAUUCAGUGAAUCAUCGAAUCUUUGAACGCACAUUGCGCCCGCCAGCAUUCUGGCGGGCAUGCCUGUUCGAGCGUCAUUUCAACCCUCAAGCUCUGCUUGGUGUUGGGGCCCUACAGCUGAUGUAGGCCCUCAAAGGUAGUGGCGGACCCUCCCGGAGCCUCCUUUGCGUAGUAACUUUACGUCUCGCACUGGGAUCCGGAGGGACUCUUGCCGUAAAACCCCCAAUUCUCCAAAGGUUGACCUCGGAUCAGGUAGGAAUACCCGCUGAACUUAAGCAUAUCAAAG
RNAcentral lists this ribosomal RNA (555 nucleotides) under Colletotrichum sp. 2 ONH-2014. RNAcentral describes it as "eukaryotic LSU rRNA". The stretch from base 193 to 346 matches the Rfam family "5.8S ribosomal RNA". Lineage: Eukaryota; Fungi; Ascomycota; Sordariomycetes; Glomerellales; Glomerellaceae. The record is from RNAcentral.